ACUUGAGUUAUCCAAACAAUCGUCUCUCUCCUCUAAUUUUCCCUUUACCAAAUCGCGAACCCUGAUUCUGCAGAAAGUUCCCAAUUUUCAGAUUCCAACAAGAAGACUAAGAACUCUAAGACAUCCUCCGAGCUGGGUUUUCCUUCUCUGAAUAUCAGCCUCGCUCUCAUCUCCAUCCCUCCUCUCCUUUCGAUGUUGCAUCCCAUUUAAAUUGAAUCUCAGAUUGCUAUGGUCCCUUAAGCUAUCUCUUAUUUCUUGCGACUCUAGUUUCAUCUCCCCCAAUUCGGCCUUGGGGAUCCCGAUCUCGAGUUUCUCUGAGCCUCUAUACUCGUUGCAGAGACAAGUAUAUUACAAAAUACUGAGACAAGGAUUCCGGCAAGAUUCCAUUUGCAUUACAACAUGGUACAUGGAUUGCUUAUUCUUCUCCUUUCCAACAAAGCCAUGUCUCUGCUCUCAGAUCUCGUCAACCUCAACCUCUCAGACAAAACCAAGCAAAUCAUUGUUUAAUACAUAUGGUUCAUUCUCCCUUCUCUCUGUUUCUAUCUCACGACGACUCUCAUUAUCUCUGUUUCUUGCUAUUGUUGUGUUGAUGAUGUGGACGUGUACAGCUUAAAGCUUGUCCAUUUUUUAGUUUUUUGUCUUCUGGGUAUGUGAUAUUUCCAUAUGGGUUUUGAUUGAACAGGUUCAGCGGAUAUGGCAUGGACAUUAGAAGCAAAGCCAGAGUAAACUGAUAGUUUGUCUCAUCCAUACCCGAGAGAAUUUGGGAGGUUUCUGCUCCUUCCAAGGCGUGAUUAGAUUCCAUUGGGCUGCCGUGUGGUGGUCAUAUUGGCUCUAGUAUCGCGUGUUCUUUGCAUCCAUGCUGCCGUAAACGCAACCUUGUCCACAUAUCUUUGUCCACACUACCUUAAAGUGAGACAUCUAUAGUGACCAAGCUGUUUUCUCUGUCGUUGUCUUGUCCAUGGAUAACUUCAAGAGAUGUAGUAAUCAAAGGAUGGAGACGAGACUGUGUGACUAAAUGAAACAGAGUAUCCCCUGUCACCGCCGUGGUUGUGGAGCCUCUCAAUGCUGCGAUUCAGAUUCAUCAAUCAUGUAAGCUCAUUCAGAAGAAAGUUUCGAGUUUUUUGAUAUAGUUUUUUUUUUAAGAAACCUUGUCCACAAUACACCUUGUCCACAUUACCUUGAAGAGAUAUUUCACUUGAUUAACAUCUUAAUGAAGAUGAAGAGAGGAUUUUUAUGGCUUACUACUAAUACAUCUUAUACAGAAAUGCUUCAUUGAAUCAUUAUUCUAAUGUGUUAGAGAUUGAGCAAGCUCAGUUUUGAUUGUUUCAGUUGUUGCUUUGAAGAAGAGAGUAGAAAGCAUCAGGAAGAUAAUCUUGCUCCCUUGACUGUGAAGAAAAGAAGGAGAAAACUAUUACUUAUAGUUCCAUCAGAAGAUCCUGAUCAGAGGCUUGCACAAAUGGGCACACUUGCAUCUGCUUUAAUAGCAUUGGGUACUAUCAAAUACAGUGACGACUUAAUUUAUGUACAUGUCCAUUACAAAAGCUUGUCCACAACUUUAGGUUUUCAGUCCAUGUAUUCUCUAUUUUCUAUGUCCAUGUCCACACAAUUUUUUUUACAAAAUCUUGUCCACAACUUUCAGUUUUAUAUCCAUGUGUUCUCCGUAUUCUAUGUCCAUGUCCAUAAUUUUUGUUUUUUAUGUCGAAAUGUAUUAGCUAGUUUUUUUUAUUAUAAGCCGUUAGAUUGACAUUC
Long non-coding RNA from Brassica rapa (field mustard), 1749 nucleotides. RefSeq lists it as uncharacterized. Lineage: Eukaryota; Viridiplantae; Streptophyta; Magnoliopsida; Brassicales; Brassicaceae. The record is from RefSeq and is a predicted model, not a curated record.